This is a long non-coding RNA of Aquila chrysaetos chrysaetos, 916 nucleotides long. RefSeq lists it as uncharacterized. The transcript is spliced from 3 exons. Lineage: Eukaryota; Metazoa; Chordata; Aves; Accipitriformes; Accipitridae. The record is from RefSeq and is a predicted model, not a curated record.
GCCAAGCGCAUGGGCUAUCCGUAAUACCUAUCCGAUAUUUAGGUCAGUAUUUCGUUACGCUCAAAGUUUUCCUCUGAAAUAAAAUAAAAGUUGCAAGGGAAGGUGUAGGGAACGGGGGAGUGAGGAGUGGCUUCUCGUGGGAAUCCACCACGACAGUGCUGUUGUGGGUGCAGGGACAUGGGGAUAAGAAAUAAGCACAGCACGAAAGGAGGGAAAGGCUGCUGCAGGGGCAUUGGGAAAAGACUUCCAGCGCAGCUGGACGGCAGGUCACGGAGCUGCGAAGGGAGGGCUCUGAGCAGUGGAAAGUUCAAUGCACGACAGGCACUGUGCAGCCUCGGUGUCUGCAGGAACAGAGAUGCUGCCUCCACCUCCCUGAUGGCCCGCAGACCUUGCCGAACCCUCACACCACACAUUAGUGCUCUCUGUGCCCAAGCAUCCCAGGAGCAGCCUACAGAAAGUGUGGCUGCAGGACUACAGGCUAUGGCUGCUGGGCUACAAAGCUGCUAUUUCUGAUUUUUUCUGUGUGGCAGGGCAACACGGGAGCCCAAGAAGGCCCAGGACCUUGUAAAAAACACACUAAGGCUCCAGGCAUUUUUGGUGUCCUGGAAGAUUCAAAGAAGAUUCAGUCCAUCAGUGCUCCGUCACUUGGACUUGGAGGCCAGCAGAAGGCAGCACCUUGCAAGAGCAGCUCCACAGACACUCCGGGAGGAGAAGCCAGGAGAAGGGAACAGUUUUGCUGGUGUCUAUAGCUGCUUCCCACCCUGAGCCUCUGCCCCGGGAGUCCCUGAGGCAUCUGUGCUCCAUGAGGAUCUUCCAGCCCCUGUAGUAGGCGCCAGGAGCAUGUGUUGAAGGAUCCAAGCCUCCAGCAACCCGCAGCCAAAGGCCUUUCUCAGCCAAGGACAGCAACUUUGUAUUU